AGAGUUUGAUCCUGGCUCAGGACGAACGCUGGCGGCGUGCCUAAUACAUGCAAGUAGAACGCUGAAGAGAGGAGCUUGCUCUUCUUGGAUGAGUUGCGAACGGGUGAGUAACGCGUAGGUAACCUGCCUUGUAGCGGGGGAUAACUAUUGGAAACGAUAGCUAAUACCGCAUAACAAUGGAUGACACAUGUCAUUUAUUUGAAAGGGGCAAUUGUUCCACUACAAGAUGGACCUGCGUUGUAUUAGCUAGUAGGUGAGGUAAUGGCUCACCUAGGCGACGAUACAUAGCCGACCUGAGAGGGUGAUCGGCCACACUGGGACUGAGACACGGCCCAGACUCCUACGGGAGGCAGCAGUAGGGAAUCUUCGGCAAUGGGGGCAACCCUGACCGAGCAACGCCGCGUGAGUGAAGAAGGUUUUCGGAUCGUAAAGCUCUGUUGUAAGUCAAGAACGGGUGUGAGAGUGGAAAGUUCACACUGUGACGGUAGCUUACCAGAAAGGGACGGCUAACUACGUGCCAGCAGCCGCGGUAAUACGUAGGUCCCGAGCGUUGUCCGGAUUUAUUGGGCGUAAAGCGAGCGCAGGCGGUUUGAUAAGUCUGAAGUUAAAGGCUGUGGCUCAACCAUAGUUCGCUUUGGAAACUGUCAAACUUGAGUGCAGAAGGGGAGAGUGGAAUUCCAUGUGUAGCGGUGAAAUGCGUAGAUAUAUGGAGGAACACCGGUGGCGAAAGCGGCUCUCUGGUCUGUAACUGACGCUGAGGCUCGAAAGCGUGGGGAGCGAACAGGAUUAGAUACCCUGGUAGUCCACGCCGUAAACGAUGAGUGCUAGGUGUUGGAUCCUUUCCGGGAUUCAGUGCCGCAGCUAACGCAUUAAGCACUCCGCCUGGGGAGUACGACCGCAAGGUUGAAACUCAAAGGAAUUGACGGGGGCCCGCACAAGCGGUGGAGCAUGUGGUUUAAUUCGAAGCAACGCGAAGAACCUUACCAGGUCUUGACAUCCCGAUGCUAUUUCUAGAGAUAGAAAGUUACUUCGGUACAUCGGUGACAGGUGGUGCAUGGUUGUCGUCAGCUCGUGUCGUGAGAUGUUGGGUUAAGUCCCGCAACGAGCGCAACCCCUAUUGUUAGUUGCCAUCAUUCAGUUGGGCACUCUAGCGAGACUGCCGGUAAUAAACCGGAGGAAGGUGGGGAUGACGUCAAAUCAUCAUGCCCCUUAUGACCUGGGCUACACACGUGCUACAAUGGUUGGUACAACGAGUUGCGAGUCGGUGACGGCGAGCUAAUCUCUUAAAGCCAAUCUCAGUUCGGAUUGUAGGCUGCAACUCGCCUACAUGAAGUCGGAAUCGCUAGUAAUCGCGGAUCAGCACGCCGCGGUGAAUACGUUCCCGGGCCUUGUACACACCGCCCGUCACACCACGAGAGUUUGUAACACCCGAAGUCGGUGAGGUAACCUUUUGGAGCCAGCCGCCUAAGGUGGGACAGAUGAUUGGGGUGAAGUCGGAACAAGGUA
RNAcentral lists this ribosomal RNA (1506 nucleotides) under metagenome. RNAcentral's name for it is "bacterial SSU rRNA". It matches the Rfam family "Bacterial small subunit ribosomal RNA". The record is from RNAcentral.